CUUAGCUCAGUGGAUAGAGCGUUCGGCUCCGAACCGAAAGGCCGUGGGUUCAAUUCCCAUAGAGU
This 65-nucleotide transfer RNA is filed under the name human gut metagenome. It matches the Rfam family "tRNA", at positions 6 to 65 of the family's 71-position model. From Rfam's summary of the family: Transfer RNA (tRNA) molecules are approximately 80 nucleotides in length. The record is from RNAcentral.